This is a long non-coding RNA of Patella vulgata (common limpet), 851 nucleotides long. RefSeq lists it as uncharacterized. Lineage: Eukaryota; Metazoa; Mollusca; Gastropoda; Patellidae. The transcript has 3 exons. The record is from RefSeq and is a predicted model, not a curated record.
GCCUUAGGUCUCUAUUGAGUGACGCUAAUAACUGUGAUAUCAUCCUGCUUCAAUGGAUCUUUGACUGUAGCAAUUUUAUUGGUUCCCACAAACAAUCCCGGAUUUUCCUGGUAUAGGAAAAACAUCCCGGAUUGGGCGUGUCUCUCUAAUCAACCAUAGUAUAAAUAUGAGGACAAUCUUAACAGUUUUAUUCUUUUCUCUUUUCAUCUCGAUAAAUACGCUGAGCUUCAACAGUCCAAUCCAAAAAUGGCUAAAAUUGGUGUUGUCUCCCUUAUUGUUUUGAUAGCUGUGGUAUAUAAUGUUGAUGCUUGGCUUCUAAAGAAAGGUUGGAAUGAAAAAAAUUGUUUCUGUAAGGCUGUUGAUAAUGACAACUAUGCCACAGUUCUUCAUGAUUUUGGUAAGAUCCAGGGAUGUAAAGGCUGGGCCGGAUGUGGUUGUCGUCGAACAGAAAUGAUAACUUGUGGAACAGAAUGUGAACGUAGAGUGAAAGAAUGGACCAAGGAUCACUGUCCAACUAAUUUAAAAGGAAGAAAGGUUCGAGCCUCCUAUACAGCUAGUGUAUGUAAUAAGGGAGUCGGACAUCAGGUGUAUGAUUGUGGAAAUAUGUGUCUAUGUCCAUGUCAAGGUUAAAAACACAUUGUAGAUAUCGUCCGUUGUUUAUGGUCAAAAUUUCGUCCAUUUAUAGCAAUAAUUUGUUUCAUUUAUGUCCCUUGUUUAUGGUCAAAACUAAUCUUGGUUUCGUUCAUUUAUCGCAAUAAUUUGUUUCAUGUAUAUCCAUUUGAAAGUCAAAGUGAUGUUCUUAUAUUUAUACAAUGUUACGUUUUAUGAUUAAAAGAUUAUAUUUAAAACAA